RNAcentral lists this long non-coding RNA (246 nucleotides) under Olea europaea (common olive). Its description in RNAcentral is "long non-coding RNA (OEUR_LNC005721)". The record is from RNAcentral. Lineage: Eukaryota; Viridiplantae; Streptophyta; Magnoliopsida; Lamiales; Oleaceae.
GCCGGCUGGGGCUCUGGCACUUCUGAUGAUUCCUCUUGAGGAACAGGGAUAUCCUCACGAGGGGGUUGGUUUGGAGCGGAUGAGCUUGCUGGUGGAAGACCUGAACGUGUGUUUACCAUGGCUUUUGGUAGCGUUUCCCACAGACGGCGCCAAUGAUGCUACCAAAAAUCGUACCUGCAGAUUUUCCGAGCUUGAUGACUGAUGAGGAGCACGAACGUGAUCUUCCGAUACCUGAAACAAAGGCAA